Molecule: ribosomal RNA, 150 nt
Filed under: Actinomucor elegans
Lineage: Eukaryota; Fungi; Mucoromycota; Mucoromycetes; Mucorales; Mucoraceae
Also listed under: 2 other names
Description: 5.8S ribosomal RNA
Rfam family: 5.8S ribosomal RNA
About the family: 5.8S ribosomal RNA (5.8S rRNA) is a component of the large subunit of the eukaryotic ribosome.
Source: RNAcentral
AACUUUUAACAACGGAUCUCUUGGUUCUCGCAUCGAUGAAGAACGUAGCAAAGUGCGAUAACUAGUGUGAAUUGCAUAUUCAGUGAAUCAUCGAGUCUUUGAACGCAUCUUGCACCUGCUGGUAUUCCAGCAGGUACGCCUGUUUCAGUA